RNAcentral lists this ribosomal RNA (207 nucleotides) under uncultured bacterium. Its description in RNAcentral is "partial 16S ribosomal RNA". It matches the Rfam family "Bacterial small subunit ribosomal RNA", at positions 568 to 774 of the family's 1533-position model. The record is from RNAcentral.
UCCGUAGGCGGUUUAGUAAGUCAGUGGUGAAAGCCCAUCGCUCAACGGUGGAACGGCCAUUGAUACUGCUAGACUUGAAUUAUUAGGAAGUAACUAGAAUAUGUAGUGUAGCGGUGAAAUGCUUAGAGAUUACAUGGAAUACCAAUUGCGAAGGCAGGUUACUACUAAUUGAUCGACGCUGAUGGACGAAAGCGUGGGGAGCGAACA